This 419-nucleotide ribosomal RNA is filed under the name uncultured rumen bacterium. RNAcentral describes it as "bacterial SSU rRNA". It matches the Rfam family "Bacterial small subunit ribosomal RNA", at positions 354 to 776 of the family's 1533-position model. The record is from RNAcentral.
GUGGGGGAUAUUGCACAAUGGAGGAAACUCUGAUGCAGCGACGCCGCGUGAGUGAAGAAGUAUUUCGGUAUGUAAAGCUCUAUCAGCAGGGAAGAAAGACUCGUAAGAGAGAUGACGGUACCUGACUAAGAAGCCCCGGCUAACUACGUGCCAGCAGCCGCGGUAAUACGUAGGGGGCAAGCGUUAUCCGGAUUUACUGGGUGUAAAGGGAGCGCAGACGGCUUAGCAAGUCUGAAGUGAAACCCCACGGCUCAACCGUGGGCUUGCUUUGGAAACUGUUAAGCUAGAGUACUGGAGAGGUAAGCGGAAUUCCUAGUGUAGCGGUGAAAUGCGUAGAUAUUAGGAGGAACAUCGGUGGCGAAGGCGGCUUACUGGACAGCAACUGACGUUGAGGCUCGAAGGCGUGGGGAGCAAACAGG